Molecule: ribosomal RNA, 460 nt
Filed under: uncultured bacterium
Lineage: Bacteria
Description: partial 16S ribosomal RNA
Rfam family: Bacterial small subunit ribosomal RNA
Source: RNAcentral
CCUACGGGGGGCUGCAGUGAGGAAUAUUGGUCAAUGGCCGCAAGGCUGAACCAGCCAAGUCGCGUGAAGGAAGAAGGACCUAUGGUUUGUAAACUUCUUUUAUAGGGGAAUAAAGGUAUCCACGUGUGGAUUUUUGCAUGUACUUUAUGAAUAGGCAUCGGCUAACUCCGUGCCAGCAGCCGCGGUAAUACGGAGGAUGCGAGCGUUAUCCGGAUUUAUUGGGUUUAAAGGGUGCGUAGGUUGUUUUUUAAGUCAGCGGUGAAAGUUUGUGGCUCAACCAUAAAAUUGCCGUUGAUACUGGAAGACUUGAGUGUGUUUGAGGUAGGCGGAAUGCGUGGUGUAGCAGUGAAAUGCAUAGAUAUCACGCAGAACUCCGAUUGCGAAGGCAGCUUACUAAGCCAUAACUGACACUGAAGCACGAAAGCGUGGGGAUCAAACAGGAUUAGAUACCCCUGUAGUC